CCCUUAGAUGUUCUGGGCCGCACGCGUGCUACACUGAGUGGAUCAGCGGGUCAGGUUGCGCGAAAGUGUUUCCUAAUCUUUAAAUCCGCUCGUGAUGGGGAUUGACGGUUGCAAUUUUCCGUCAUGAACGAGGAAUACCUUGUAAGCGCGGGUCAUCAUCCCGCGCUGAAUACGUCCCUGCCCUUUGUACACACCGCCCGUCGCUCCUACCGAUUGAGUGGUCCGGUGAGGCUUUGGGAUCUGAGCGGAAAGAGCGUUUCGCUGUUUCUGCCCGGAAAACUCAGUCGAACCUUAUCUUUUAGAGGAAGGAGAAGUCGUAACA
This 322-nucleotide ribosomal RNA is filed under the name uncultured eukaryote. Its description in RNAcentral is "partial 18S ribosomal RNA". It matches the Rfam family "Eukaryotic small subunit ribosomal RNA", at positions 1470 to 1796 of the family's 1831-position model. The record is from RNAcentral.